GUAGGAGGCAAGCGUUAUCCGGAUUCACUGGGCGUAAAGCGCGUGCAGGUGGCGCGGUAAGUUGGGCGUGAAAUCUCCCGGCUCAACUGGGAGAGGUCGUCCAAUACUACCGUGCUUGAGAGCAGAAGAGGAAGAUGGAAUUCCCGGUGUAGUGGUGAAAUGCGUAGAUAUCGGGAGGAACACCAGUGGCGAAGGCGAUCUUCUGGUCUGUUUCUGACACUCAGACGCGACAGCUAGGGUAGUAAACGGGAUUAGAGACCCCGGUAAUCCUAGCCGUAAACGAUGUGAACUUGGCGUUGGUGGGUUAAACUCCAUCAGUGCCGUAGCAAACGCGAUAAGUUCACCGCCUGGGGACUACGGCCGCAAGGUUA
This 371-nucleotide ribosomal RNA is filed under the name uncultured organism. RNAcentral describes it as "bacterial SSU rRNA". It matches the Rfam family "Bacterial small subunit ribosomal RNA", at positions 527 to 896 of the family's 1533-position model. The record is from RNAcentral.